RNAcentral lists this ribosomal RNA (256 nucleotides) under uncultured bacterium. RNAcentral's name for it is "partial 16S ribosomal RNA". It matches the Rfam family "Bacterial small subunit ribosomal RNA", at positions 524 to 776 of the family's 1533-position model. The record is from RNAcentral.
GACAUAGGUGGCAAACGUUAUCCGGAUUUAUUGGGCGUAAAGGAUGCGUAGAUGGUGGAAAAAGUUAUUGGUCGAAGUCAAGCUCAACUUGGCGGAAGCUGAUAAUACUAUUCUACUUGAGGGCAGGAGAGGUUGGCGGAAUUCUGUGUGGAGCGGUGAAAUGCGUUGAUCUACAGAGGAACGCCAAAAAAAGGCGAAGGCAGCCAACUAUUCUGCUCCUGACAUUGAGGCAUGAAAGCGUGGGGGAGCAAACCGG